This 582-nucleotide ribosomal RNA is filed under the name uncultured bacterium. Its description in RNAcentral is "bacterial SSU rRNA". It matches the Rfam family "Bacterial small subunit ribosomal RNA", at positions 102 to 680 of the family's 1533-position model. The record is from RNAcentral.
ACGGGUGAGUAACGCGUAGGAAUUUACCUUGCAGUGGGGGAUAACUUGGGGAAACCCAAGCUAAUACCGCAUAAGCCCGAGAGGGGAAAGCGUGGGACCGAAAGGCCACGUGCUAUGAGAUGAGCCUGCGUCGGAUUAGCUAGUUGGUAGGGUAAAGGCCUACCAAGGCGAAGAUCCGUAGCUGGUCUGAGAGGACGACCAGCCACACUGGGACUGAGACACGGCCCAGACUCCUACGGGAGGCAGCAGUGGGGAAUAUUGGACAAUGGGCGCAAGCCUGAUCCAGCAAUGCCGCGUGUGUGAAGAAGGCCUGCGGGUUGUAAAGCACUUUCGGUGGGGAGGAAGGCCUACGUUUUAAUAGAACGUAGGAUUGACGUUACCCACAGAAGAAGCACCGGCUAACUCUGUGCCAGCAGCCGCGGUAAUACAGAGGGUGCGAGCGUUAAUCGGAAUUACUGGGCGUAAAGGGUGCGUAGGUGGUUAGUUAAGUUAGAUGUGAAAUCCCUGGGCUUAACCUAGGAACGGCAUUUAAGACUGAUUAGCUAGAGUUUGGUAGAGGGAAGUGGAAUUUCCGGUGUAGCG